ACACAGUUUCUAUUAGAAUUAUGUUUUUAAUGAUAAAGUUGGUUCCAAGUCCUAUAAGCUCAUUCACGUUGUUCUCCUGCCCUUUCUUUUGUGUGUUCCCAGGCCCAGGGACAGCGUCAUGUCAUGCAGUGCUGGGGCACCUCUGGCACAGCAAGAAGUAGUGGGGGAAGAGGAGCAGUGUGAGAUUGCACUGGAGAAUACAGUGCGUGUCCCCUUGGAGUGACUCCAAGUACCUGCUUGCAGACCAACUCCUCAGUUUCUCCUGUGCUCCACCACUGUGCUGCAAACUACUGGGUCGGCCGUCAGACGGUGCUUGGACUUCAGCUCCUGCAGCAGAGAACAGGAUUUGGUGUCCUGCUGCGCAACUCAGGGGAAGGCUGAGGCAGAAGCCACCCCUGCAGUUCUCAGGAUGUAGUAAUGGAAGUGCUUUCUUCAUCAGCAAAGCCAUUUAAUGAACUUUCUACUUCCGACCACCGCUCCUCUGCGUCACAGUUCAGUGCAGCCUGAGGAGCCUCUGUCACAGAACCUUGGGUCUGAAGUGAUUCAGGUUAAAAAUCCCUCUUGCGAAGGCCUUGAGAGCUUGAUUUUGUGUUUACCUUUGUUUUGAUUCCCCAUGACCCCUACUUUCUCCUUAGCACAACUGACAGAUCUGCAAACGGCAGCGAGCUGCUGGAAGUCAGGAACUGCUCUUCUGCUGGCUUUGCUGCCGAACAAAGCUGUGAUCGCCUACGCAGCGAGUACCUCCUCAGCACGCCAGGCUGAGGGGGCUAUCACUCUGCAGCAUAGUUCCAGGAACAGCAGUUUGGUGCCGGUGCACACAGCAUCCAGCCCUUCAGCUGUGACUGAAGCGCAGUUUCUGAAGGAAUGGGUUUAUGGGAGAGGAUUUAGGGAAAUCUUAGCUCUGCAACCUGGUCUACAUUUAAGACUCUUGCAGGUAUAAUAGUAUUGCUAGAGCAGGAUUUGUUGUUACUUUUCAGGCAGUUAUGUCGAUAAAAUCUCUUGAUGUGGAAGUAACUAUAGCAGUACAGAAUUCUCUUAAAUACUAACUAUUCUGUUUCUUAUAUAGGAAUUACUUUGAGAAUGUAAUGCACUUUGUUAUGACUUUACACUUAAAUACGUCUUCUGUUUAAUUGUUUAGAGCAGGUUAGGGGGUGCUGAGGUGACUAGCUCAUGCUAUCCUUAACAGAUAAAAGUUGAGUAUCUUUGGAAAAACAGCUUUUCUUUAUGACUUUUGUUUUUUCAGAUGUCUCUGUUCCGGUCUUUAUCUAUAACUAGCCAUACAUAACAGAUAUGAAUGCAUGUGCCUGUGCAUACAGAUUUAUCUGUUACGUGCACACACAUACAGAUUUGAGAAGCUCUGGAGCAGAGUUGUUUGCAUAAUGAGUUUCGUUUUUCUUCACAGGUCAGCACCUUAAGCGAACCUUGGAAAAACUAUUGUGUGAUCAGUCAUCACUCUGAAGCAGCAGCACCCGUUUGGUAAAGGUAGUCUUGGAUAAAAAUGUGUGGUUUCAGUGACUUGUCGUUGAAACCUUGUGGUUUCUGUGUAGGUGGCUGUAUAGGCUGGACACGUUUGACAUCCUUGUUUCUGAGCUGUGAAAUCUGUACAUCUAAUUUAUGAAAAUUAUCUCUGGUUUAAUUUUAUUUUUUUUUUUAAUGAAGUCAACAUAUUUUCCUUGCAUUCAGUGGAAACAGUAAUGGAAAUAGUUUUAAGAUGCACUGUGAGCAUGUUUUGACCUCAAAGAGCGAGACGAAUCAAGAUAACUCUUGGUUACGAUGAAGGUCUAAGAAGGAAAUUAAAAUUAAAUACAGAGAGCCAGAUGUGAGAGGAAAGCAUUUUUCAAGUGCGGAGACAAAGAGUAGCUAACUGUGGGAAAUGACAUAGACAUUAUAAAAUGAAAAUAUUCCAAGUGAGAAUUUGAUUUAAAAAACCCCAACUAGCUAAGUAAGGUAAUUUAGAAUAAACCACGAUACCAGUGCCAUUUAAGGUAACCAGCAAUAUCUGUGGCCUUUCGGGUGGUCUAAAUAAGUAAGUUUACAUGUAAGGUAAAUCCAUGACUAAAGAAUCUAAAGGUAGGACAAAGAACUGCAGCAGAAGCAGGUGGAAUCCCACAAAAACAUAAUUGAUCAGUUGUGUGCUUUUUUCUUUUGUAAUUGAGUUUUAUGCUACUUUCAGUGAAUUGAUUCACAGAAUCAUCAAGUUUGGAAGAGACCUUCAUGAUCAUCUAGUCCAGCUGUCAAGCAACACCACCAUAAGGGUGGAAUGUGCUGAUGAUGAUGCAGGGGAUUUGGCAGGUCUGCACAGCUGGAUUUGGAAGGAGGGGAGAGUAAGUUGGCUUCGCUAUGUCAUGUAUGUGGAAACACAUCCAUGUCUGCAUCACUCAACUGGAGCCAGGAGAGCCAUGGACCCACCUCUUCUAGCCUUCAUUCCUUCUCUCACUCUUCUCCCUUCUGCUCUGAUGAGUGUCUCCUGUGCUGUAACUCCCCAGAAAGCUGAGCUGUGGCAAUACAGGAUACCUGAGCCUCUAAACUGGCAAAUCCUGUUCCCUUCACUGUCGGGAGCAGCGACUGCAGUGACUGCCCAGACUUCUGAGUUUUCCCCAACAACAGUUUUGCUUCUGGCAGGCAAGUUCCCAGAAGAAUAUACACCCUUCCCUGUUAGUGAACCAAUGGAAAUGCAUUAAAAAUGAGCAAAGACCUCUGUACAGAAAAUGAAGGUGAAGAAAAAGGAAAUUCAAAAUACAAAAUUUCUUGCUGAAAUAUAAAUGAAACGACUACUUGUGUGAAAAUAACUACGGACUGCAUUUGUGGGAGUACAAAAAUCUGCCUGAAAACAUUAGUCAGAGACUUCUGUGUGAGCAAAGAUUGAAAGUGUGAUCACCCACUGACAGUUAUUUCAGAGGGAUGACUGCAAGAUUCAUCUUAAUAAUUUUCAGUAAUUUCCAUAUUGAAACAUCAAUAGAAGACCAUAGCUUUUAAUUCCUUGCUACUGUCUCAUUAGUCCUCCUGGGAGAGUUGUUCCUUUUCAAGGAAAAAAAAAAUAAAAUAAUUAAAAGUGUUACUCUAACGUUAUACCUUUGACUGUAAAAUUAAAUUGUCUUGUCCUGCUUGUGUUUUCUUUUCAGAAACCUGAGGCAGUAAACACAUGACUGCAUCUGUAGGUGAAUAUACAAGACAAUAGUAAAAUUGGUCUCUAAAACUACUCUUUUGGGCAAGGACAUUUUUCUUGCACACUUAAAAAUUGAUACCUGUUCCCGGAACAGACAGUGUUCUUUCUCUGAACUAACCUGUGGGAAACCAAGAGACAAACAAAGAGGCACUGAAGAUCUCAUAGCUUUCCCAUGUCCCGAGAUAUGCAGAUAAACAAGGAUCAGCUUUCUUUAAUAGCAUCCAGAAUUCACCCAGAAGCAAUAUCAUAGGAUUCAGCGUUCUUUGCUGUUUAGCUCAGUUCCCACUCCCUAUCCUCCUGUUCUGAUUAUCAUAAGGAUUACACAACUACUUUGUUGUUGCCUCUGGGAAGACUCUAUCAGUGCCUUUUUUUCUCUUUGUAGCUAAGCCUGCCGUUCUUCAAAUCCCUGCUUGGUGGCAUUUUUAGGUGGUUUCUUAUCCGCUGCAUUUCUACUUGUAUUUCCCAGCUUAUUGUCCUCCUCACUCACCUGCCCUUUGCUGGCCAGGGACAGGCAGUGAACCACAAGUGUUAACACCUUUGCCCUGGGCACCUCCUCUCCCUCCCAGGAUAGUUCUGUUCCAGAUGCUGGGGAUCAAAAGCAGCUCCUUAAAUCUCCCCUUCUGCAGAUUGGACCCCCCUCCUCCCCGAUGUUGAGGGCCCAGCUGAAAAGUCACAGGACUGAUGGCACUCUGAAGGCUGCCAAGUAAUUCUACUUGAUACCGCUGCACAAAGGGCAAAAACGUGAAGGGAAAUGGAAACAUUAAACCUGAGAACAGGAAAACUCACGAGAAUGUCAGAAACGGCCUGAAGGAAAAAGGAGACAAAGCUGUAAUUUCCAAAACAAUACUGGGAGAUCAAAGGAGGCUGAUGCGCUUUGAAAUCGCUGUUUGUGGCAGAUCUGCAGGGAAAGGUUAAACAGGAACAUUAUUUUGAAGGGUGCUGUGAAAAAUACAGGCAAAGAGGCAAUAGAACCUCUAGAUUUUUUCUUGUCUCUCUUCUUGCCAUUGCCCUCUGCACUUCUGCAUUGGCCACACUGAGAAAUGUCACCAUUUACUUCACUUUAAAUUAUCUUUUAAAUUGAGCAGAGAUUAAACAGUUUUACCGUCUGACACAAUCACAUGCCAUGGAAACUCUCCUUACUCAUUCUCUGAGCCACCUUGUUUUCUUCUUUAUUGCAAGACCUGGUUCAAUGCUUUUAAGGAUUGACCUGCACAGAUUUUCCCUUUCAGCUCUAUUCUUCAUCAGAUCCUGAGUGAUUUUAGUGGUUUCAUCCAGUUUCUGCCAAAACAGAUAAAUAAUUAGAAGUGGCAAAAUGUUUCAUGCUUUAUCUUUUUAUCUGACAGAAAGAUACAUAGUGAAGCUGUUGGAAUUUAAACUAUGUCUUUAUAUUUAACCCGUUCCAUGAUGUUAAAGAAAGACAGCUUUAGCUUUUUUAUAAGGUUAAGAGGAUGGUCAGAAGAAGCCAGUAUUUUAUGCAUUAAAUUGUCUUGUCUCAAUUAAAUUGUAUAUUUCAUACAAUACAUUGUCUUCUCAUUAGGGUAAUUCAUUCUUCAGUGUUAUUUAAAAUCUUCUGUAAGUUAGUGGAAAAUGGCCUAAUAUGGGUUCAUGUGGACUGCUGUGCCUUACUAGUUCUUUAGACCUACACAGCACUUUUUUUUGCACCUUGUGAAAAUGGGGUAAACCAGCCAUAUUUAGCUAUUUUUCGGUUCCUGUUUUAUCCAUUGAUAGGAAAGACAGUCCCUUUGGCUGCCUCUUGCUCUGGACUUCCUCUAGAAAAUGUGUAUAUUCCUUACUGAAGAGAUUCAAGAGAACCUGAACCUUCAAGGAGUUAAUUUACUUUUCUUUUAAUACCAGCCAAGAUUUCAUUAUGAAGGACACUGUGCACAAACAAGAGCGGCUUAGUGCCUAGAGCAAGCGUUCAUGCACUGGUAUGAAUCAGAUCAGCCUCAAUCCACACCUCCAUCACUUCUCAGUCUAGUACUGAGAAAGCUUUCCAGGGCUGAUUAGUCAUUUGUUUUAAGUGCAAUAAAUGUCAGAGAAACUAAUUAAAAAAAGGACCUCAGUAAAUGUGAGGCAUAGCUGCUCUCUAGUGGACUCGUGAAUAGUGUCAGCAAUGCUAAGUACACUUAGCCCCAGAAAAUAAUCAUGUAAAAAGGAAUCAUGUAGAUACUCUGCUGAGAGACAGAAGAUGAAAAUUUCCUGCACCUCUGAGUUAAGCUGCUUCCUUGUUUCCUUGCCAUAUCUCCCCUCCUUAUGUAUCUGACUUACACCAGGGUUACAGUGAAAUAGCAGAAUAGCAGCUUUAAAAAUAUCUCCAGUGCUGUGGUGAGCAAUAUUUCAUUGUCUGUGUGUUCUAGUUUUGUUUGCAGAUGACAGUGUUUCCAUUUAGCAUCGUGUGAGAGUGGCAAGUAUCUCAGAGGUGAGGAAAACCAUUUUAUCAGAAAAGGGGAGGUGUUCAAAGUAGAAGUGCUUACUUCCUUAGGCGGUACGGAAAGCAGAGGGAAAAAUACCUACUGCACAGAGGACCUUCCCUUUUGGCAAUGUGAGAUCCUCUUGGGCUUUCUUAGGAAAAAAACUAUGUAAUCAAGGUCAAAUCGAGCCAGCCUGCCCAGGCAUAAGUGUGUGCACACAGGGGACGUUGGGCAGCCAGGUCCUGCCCAGCAGGGUAUGGGGCUGGAUGUGGGGCUGAGCAACGCUCAGCCUACAAACACCCCCAGGGACCACACUUCUAUUCCUGACCUUCCCAGCAGCUUCACUGGCUCAGAGUUUAGCUUACUGUGCACUUUAUGUCAAGGAAUUCUGCUAUAUCCACCAAAAUGCCCACAGAAAUAAUCUGCCUGUAUUGAUUUACUGACAGGUGAUCUUUAAAAGAAUUUCAGAGCAAGUCUAUCUGUUACAUUCUUUUAUUGCAGUAACUUCAAAAAUAAGUGACUGGUUUCAUGAGCAGCCCCUGAGAUAACUUAGGGACCAAAUAAUAUGACUCAAACCCACGAAAGUUUUACAGGACUGACUGAAAAAGUUAAAUCUUUAAUACUAUGAACAAAAUAAUGUGAGCAGCAGAUAAGCCUUUUGAAGAAAGCCUUGAUGCUGUGCAAGGACUAUUCAGCCAUAGACAAAGGACUGGUGUGUUUUCUGCUCCUUUUAGUCACAAAUCCAAAUUACAGCAUCAUAGGCACUGCUGUGAACAAAGUGAACUCCAUCCCAGCUGGAGCCAGUACACCCACAGUGAUUAAACUGGUUUGAUUGUGGAUCCUCUGGUUUCAGUCAACCACAUUAAUUCUUUUCUGGCAGGGACAAAGUCUAGGAUUUCUGAUUGCUAAUCUGUUGCUCACUAAUAAUUAUUUGCAUCUCCUCUUGGAAAGGAGUUCACUGAGUUCUUGUCCUGUGACGUACCUAGAAAGAGGUGGGUGUUUGGUUCUGUACCUGAAGUUCUAAGCUAAGUGUCUGUAAGUGUUUCCACCUCUGCAUCUGAGCAGAGGUGUUAAACACCUUUCUUUUACUCAAACUGUGGAAAGACUUCCUUAUUAGAAGUAAAAGAUCUGGAUUUUGUGGUCUGUAUCCCCAAGUAAAUGGGUGUAUUGUCCCUUGCCACUUCCAUUGUGAAUAUGUUUGAACAUGUGUGGCUGAGGUGCUGAUCUUUGGCACUACACAAACACCUAACCUUUAAUAUUGCAGUGUAGAUGAUACUAGAGAAUGGAAAGUAAGUCUGACUUUUACUACCCUUAUUAACCACUGGAUCCAUCCUUUAGUCCGGUGGGACUGACUAAACAGUGGUUUAAAUGAAAAAGACUCAGACUUAAAAAUAGGAAAUGCUUUUUGUUUCCAUAGGGAACUUAACAGGCUCAUCUGAAGGACAGCCUUGAUCUGUGAAAAUACUUCAGUCUGAACUGUGGAGAGGUGAAAACAUAUAUAUGAAAACUAAUAUUUUCUAUUUCCUUUUUGUUCAGCUUCCUGUAUGCUGAGCCCAGGUUGUUUAUUCUUCUGAAUGAUGCAAUGGGUUAACGGAUUAUAUGUGGGUUAUCAGUAAGGAAAUCUGAAGGUACAAGGACCAUAACAGUACCUUAUGUUUCACUUUGAUUAAACUGGUGGAAUUCCGUGCAAAUGGAAAAUUGUGGAGGCGUAUGGCCUUCAUUUUAAUCAAGAGGAUACAGUAGGAAGUCACACAAAACAUAAACUACCGUAUUAUUUCUAAAUCAUGAAAUAUCUUGAAGGCUUUCAAUUCAAAAUCCAUGCAGUCUUUUUACAAAAGAUAAAAUACAUGUGUAGUCCAUUCUGCUGAGGUUUAGGGAGAUGUGAGACUCAGGGGAAGGGUGUAGUGGAUUUACCUGGGAGCCAAGAGAAGUCACCAGGAGGUUGCCAUUCUCUAACUUAGCUUGAACUAUAAUGAUAAUGAGUGGGUUUCCUUUUGGAGGCUGCUUUCCACGACAAACAGCCUAUUGUGCAUGUAAAAACCCUUUAUUUGCUUUAGAAAUCUAAGUAAAUUUAAAAUAAUUUAAAUCAAUUUUUAAAAAUAAAAUAUCUUUUUUUUUCUUUGCUGCUUUAGAGAAUAUACAGCAAUGCAGAGUAAGCUCAGUUACCUUUUAGAAAAAAAAAGUUGUCACACAGGGAAGCUACCCUUAAUCCCCCACACCUGGGAGCUUCAAGGUGCAUGUAGUGACACGCUCAGCAUGGCAGAGCUUCCCUCAUGGGAAUCCACACCAGGCUGGCUGUCAUCCAAACCCUCAUGCAAUGCAGUCUGCUCCCCUCCAGGUAAGCCAUGAGAAAUGCUUGAGUAUCCAUGCACAGGAAAGGCAGCAGCAGGACCAUUUCAGUAGCUAUGUUCCCCAUGGUGCAUCUCAGUGGUUCUAAAAUAUGGAUGGAUGGUAGGAACAGCCCCUCUGUGCCUUAGGCAAAAGUAUUUGAUGCUCUAUGUGGACAGCAACCAAGAUUUUCUUUGGGGUGGGUCUGAUAGACAUUGUUCUGUACCUAACUGCUCUUUUUAAAAUAAGGAUCAGUUUGGUUGAGAACCAGCAGGGAAGGAAUGCCUUUGGCUGCAGGGAAGGAAUGCCUUUGGCUUACCCCACCUUCGUGCUGUGUGUUCAUGUUUUGAAACUGGGGUGGGGUGGUUUAUAUUUUGAUAGACCAUUAUGUAGGAGGGAAGCAAAUAGCCUGAAACUUCGACCUGAUUAGUGUCUCCUUCCUCACUAAUGUUGUCAUUUAUAUGCCACACAGCUGCCUGUGAGGGCAGCCAGGAGCUAAGGACAGUCCUUUACGCUAAAGGCUUCAGAUGUUCUUGCCCCCAUCGCCCUGAAUUCCUCUGCUUUCACUUGUGUGAGGAGGACUUUUUUCCUUCUUGCUUUUUGCUCUCUUCCUGUGACACUGGCAGCACUGGGGCACUCUGGCAUCUUUCCCCCGUGCACCAAGAAGGAAAUGUCCUUUUCUGAGUUAUGGGAGGUGGCAGUUUGUUUGCUGGGGAGCCGUGUAGCUGAGAUCACGUCUCUUAUGUCUGACCAGUUGAGAGGAAACAACACCCGGUAUUCUGAGGCUGAUAAAGGACCUCUAAUGCUCAGGUCACCUCAAACCAGUUAAAAAGGGGUGAAGAUGUGGUUAUGGUGGGUGUCUUGGAGAAGAGAGGGUGAUACUAGAGGGGUUGAGUCCAACAUCCUUCAUGCCUGGAGGAACACCACCACGUCCCAGGACCACAUUUGUGGGAGACAGCUGCUCUUUCUGCAGGAGGCAACAACAUCUGCAGCACCUUUGGGAACAGCUGCUGCAAUAGAGAUGCCAAGCCAUCCUCUUCUCCUCCUUCAAAUCCUUCCUGGCAAACAGUUUUCCUGGGAUGACUUCACCAAGUACAUCAGUUUACCCAAGGCUCUGAGAAUGAAAUGUGCAGGCAAUAUUUUUCUCCUAAAUUUAUAGGCAAGAGGUACGUGAGUGACUGACUUCAGUGCCUACCAUGUACCUCCUACUGCAAGAUGCAGGACCUGCAUAGGCUCAGCACUGGUAAGAAUCUCUGUGGCAUUAGUCACAGCUAGUGGCUACCCACAGUCACUCUGGCUGUCUGAGCAAGAAAGCUUGUGGGUUUGUUUCAGCUUCCUUGCUAGAAGUCUCAAAGCCAGACAUCCUCAUUUUGGUCAAGAGAUGCAUUCCCAAACCUGACUUAUCCUUCUUAUUACUUGCUAUUUUAGCCACUUGCUAUUUUGGCAACUAUUUCAUCUUUUACUCCUGCCCUGUGAGCGUGUCAGUGCCUGGUGCUCCCAGAGCGUUCUGUGCUGCCUCGAUGGUGUCACUGCAUCCUCAUCCACUGCUUCCUCCCGCUGCUCCAGAGCAUCUCUGACAUCACCAGCCCGCCAGUGCUGCCGCAAAACUGGCAUGUCCUCGUCACUCUGCUCCCAUGAGGGCAAAGAAACAGCUCCCAGGGCCUCACUGGAAAGCCCAUGACUCCCAAUGUCUUCUUUUUCUCUCAAUAGUGACAAUUUCUCUCCCUGGCUUCAGAAUCUUUGUUUCCGUUUUAAACAGAUUAAUUUUGUUUGCCUUGACAGAGGCUUUUUUUUUUUUUUUGUUAAGCUCUGCCUCGUUUCUUCUCCACUCCUUCCUAAAUCUCAGAUGGAAAAUGCCUCUUCCUGUCCCCAGACUUGUUUUUCUCUUCUGCUGGGACUGAUUUAAUUGUUAUUCUGCUCUUCCAAUAUUGCUCAAAAGGUGUAGCAGAAAACAAAGUUGUAUUGUAUUGAAACAGAAAACAAUUUCAGAGUGGGAUGAAUCACCCUUUCUUCAACCCCCACCUAAAAACAAUAAAAAAAAAAAAAGAUGAUUCACUGUAGAAAGUCUAUGUGAGGUUUCUCAAAUUCAGUUCUGGUUUAUCAUCUGUGAGGCAAUGCUGUGCUUGUCAUUCUGGCAAUGUGGUAUCACUUUACUUGAAAAUGGCUUGGAGGUUUUACUGAUUCAUUCUGGGAGAUUAGUUUGUUGGUAAAUUAGAAGGUUAAUUUUGAUUCUUUCAUGAAGCAUUUGAAACAUAUUUUGGACUAUAGAAAAUUUCAGUAAAUUGAAGUAAAUAUAUAAUAAAAGAUAACAAGAAGUGUGAUAAAAAUACAACAUGCUUAAAGCCAGUGUAAGGCAGUGUGGGUUUUUUUAUGAGACACAAAAGCUGUGGAAGCUUUUGCCUCAGUAUCAUCAAGGGCAAGACCUUUGUGAGGUAAUUCAGUACAAUUAGGCUGACACUGAUAACAUCAUCUCUAAUUAAAUUACAGAAAAUGGAUAAAAAGAAAACAUCAAACCUGAGGGACAGUGAUACUUGAUGUACAUUUCUCAGGGUGCAGGAGUAAUGCCUGGUGCCACAGGCUGCCAGUGCUACCCCAGGUAGGUGCUGGGGAUGGUUCUUAGUCCCCUCAGGCUGGAUCCAGCCUUGCAGUUGCCUUGGCCUGUCUGUGUUUCCAUCUCCAUAUGGUGAGUGGAAUGAGUAUUCUGUAAUCUGGGUGAAAAUGUACAUUGUUCAUAUGUCUACUUUUGUGUUAUCACAUGAUCCCCAAAGAGGGAGACCACAGAACAGCUUUGGUGGAAGCUGAGCUGUGUGCAUCAGCUGCAGGAGCACUCUGGAGACACUGAGGGGACUGAGCAUGUCUUGGGGACUGCUCUGUGAGGGUAAGGGAAGUUUCUCAAGCUCACAACAAAUUGCAGUGGAUUUAAAUAAAAAAUGUAGGUGCAGUACUGAAUAAAGGCUACUGAAAUACUCUUUAUUUUCCAUUUCCCUAACAGGCUUUUUUCAAAAUUACUGCAAGAAGGACUUGAAGUAACCAAGCCUUGCCACCCAGGAGAGAGCAAAGGAUCUGAGAAGUGGCACAUACCUCCUUCCCAAGCCCCCCCAUGUCUUGGCUGCUAGCCCUGGCUCCAGCAGUCUCUGACUCGAAUGAACACUCAGACUGAAAACCAGGCUUCGCUGAUGUUGCAGAGGGAGGAUCUCAGCUGGAUGCCCACAUUACAGCCAUCCAAGGGGAAUCUGCAAAUGCCAGAAGGAGUUCUGAAGAUUGAAGGAGUAAAGCCAGAAGAACAGGCAGGCAGACUGAGAAUGAACACCCCACUGAGGAGACUUAGGACCCUCUGUACCUCCUGCGGUGGCCUGGAUGUGUCAGUAGUGGUUUCACCUGGAAAAUGUUCCCGCUCCCGGCCUGGCCGGUGCCAUCCCCACCUGCCACCGCGACAGCACGAAGCGGAGGAGCUCAGCGAGCCGUGCCGAGACGAACCAGGCACGUUCCCCCCGGCUUGCUGAGCGCAAGUGCCGCAUUUUGCGAAUCCCGGUGUUUUUUCGGGAGCGUUUUCCAUGGUGACAAAGCUGGGGGGGGCGGAGGUAACCAGGCGGCAACGGCGGCCUG
Pseudopipra pipra is the source of this 11511-nucleotide long non-coding RNA. RefSeq lists it as uncharacterized. The record is from RefSeq and is a predicted model, not a curated record. The transcript has 4 exons. NCBI's taxonomy places the organism in Eukaryota, Metazoa, Chordata, Aves, Passeriformes, Pipridae.